RNAcentral lists this transfer RNA (74 nucleotides) under Amycolatopsis coloradensis. RNAcentral describes it as "tRNA-Leu". It matches the Rfam family "tRNA". From Rfam's summary of the family: Transfer RNA (tRNA) molecules are approximately 80 nucleotides in length. Their secondary structure includes four short double-helical elements and three loops (D, anti-codon, and T loops). RNAcentral also lists the same sequence under 13 other names. Lineage: Bacteria; Bacillati; Actinomycetota; Actinomycetes; Pseudonocardiales; Pseudonocardiaceae. The record is from RNAcentral.
GCCCCGGUAGCCCAACUGGCAGAGGCAGUCGACUUAAAAUCGACCCAGUGCGGGUUCGAUCCCCGUCCGGGGCA